RNAcentral lists this ribosomal RNA (557 nucleotides) under uncultured bacterium. Its description in RNAcentral is "bacterial SSU rRNA". It matches the Rfam family "Bacterial small subunit ribosomal RNA", at positions 55 to 588 of the family's 1533-position model. The record is from RNAcentral.
ACGGAAGUCGUUUUAUCUAAACUAAUAUGGAAUUAGAUUUAUUUAAUGAAGUAAAGGUAGAAAUAAAACAAUGGCUUUAGUGGCGGACUGGUGAGUAACACGUGAACAAUCUACCUAUUAGAGUGGAACAACAAUGAGAAAUCAUUGCUAAUACCGCAUACUCUAGUUUUAUCGCAUGAUGAGAUUAGGAAAGGAGUAAUCCGCUAAUAGAUGAGUUUGCGACUGAUUAGCUAGUUGGUAAGGUAAUGGCUUACCAAGGCAACGAUCGGUAGCCGAGUUGAGAGACUGAACGGCCACAUUGGGACUGAGAUACGGCCCAGACUCCUACGGGAGGCAGCAGUCGGGAAUAUUGCGCAAUGGAGGAAACUCUGACGCAGUGACGCCGCGUAUAGGAAGAAGGUUUUCGGAUUGUAAACUAUUGUCGUUAGGGAAGAAAAAAGACAGUACCUAAGGAGGAAGCUCCGGCUAACUAUGUGCCAGCAGCCGCGGUAAUACAUAGGGAGCAAGCGUUAUCCGGAAUUAUUGGGUGUAAAGGGUGCGUAGAUGGGAGUACAAGU